CAUGCAGUCGAGCGCAAGAGACUAGGAGCUUGCUCCUUUGACGUUAGCGGCGGACGGGUGAGUAACACGUGGGUAACCUACCUAUAAGACUGGGAUAACUUCGGGAAACCGGAGCUAAUACCGGAUAAUAUUUCCAACCGCAUGGUUCGAUAGUGAAAAAUGGCUUUGCUAUCACUUAUAGAUGGACCUGCGCCGUAUUAUCUAGUUGGGAAGGUAACGGCUUACCAAGGCAACGAUACGUAGCCGACCUGAGAGGGUGAUCGGCCACACUGGAACUGAGACACGGUCCAUACUCCUACGGGAGGCAGCAGUAGGGAAUCUUCCGCAAUGGGCGAAAGCCUGACGGAGCAACGCCGCGUGAGUGAUGAAGGUCUUCGGAUCGUAAAACUCUGUUAUUAAGGAAGAACAAACGUGUAAGUAACUGUGCACGUCUUGACGGUACCUAAUCAGAAAGCCACGGCUAACUACGUGCCAGCAGCCGCGGUAAUACGUAUGUGGCAAGCGUUAUCCGGAAUUAUUGGGCGUAAAGCGCGCGUAGGCGGUUUUUUAAGUCUGAUGUGAAAGCCCACGGCUCAACCGUGGAGGGUCAUUGGAAACUGGCAAACUUGAGUGCAGAAGAGGAAAGUGGAAUUCCAUGUGUAGCGGUGAAAUGCGCACAGAUAUGGAGGAACACCAGUGGCAAAGCGACUUUCGGGUCUGUAACUGACGCUGACGUGCGAUAGCGUGCGGG
RNAcentral lists this ribosomal RNA (730 nucleotides) under Staphylococcus hominis. Its description in RNAcentral is "bacterial SSU rRNA". It matches the Rfam family "Bacterial small subunit ribosomal RNA", at positions 54 to 767 of the family's 1533-position model. The record is from RNAcentral. Lineage: Bacteria; Bacillati; Bacillota; Bacilli; Caryophanales; Staphylococcaceae.